UACGUAGGGUCCAAGCGUUAUCCGGAAUCACUGGGCGUAAAGCGUGCGUAGGUGGAUAGAUAAGUGUGACAUUAAAUCCUGUGGCUCAACCAUAUGGCUGUGUUGCAUACUGUUUAUCUAGAGGACAUGAGAGGCAAGUGGAAUUACUGGUGUAGCAGUGAAAUGCGUAGAUAUCAGUAGGAACACCAAUGGCGAAGGCAGCUUGCUGGCAUGUAUCUGACGCUAAGGCACGAAAGCGUGGGGAGCGAACAGG
Molecule: ribosomal RNA, 253 nt
Filed under: uncultured bacterium
Lineage: Bacteria
Description: partial 16S ribosomal RNA
Rfam family: Bacterial small subunit ribosomal RNA
Source: RNAcentral